This 58-nucleotide transfer RNA is filed under the name Drosophila pallidipennis. RNAcentral's name for it is "partial tRNA-Arg". The record is from RNAcentral. Lineage: Eukaryota; Metazoa; Arthropoda; Insecta; Diptera; Drosophilidae.
GAAUAUGAAGCGAUUAAUUGCAAUUAGUUUCGACCUAAUCUUAGGUAUUUACCUACCC